RNAcentral lists this ribosomal RNA (494 nucleotides) under uncultured bacterium. RNAcentral describes it as "partial 16S ribosomal RNA". It matches the Rfam family "Bacterial small subunit ribosomal RNA", at positions 28 to 506 of the family's 1533-position model. The record is from RNAcentral.
GACGAACGCUGGCGGCGUGCCUAAUACAUGCCAGUAGAACGCUGAAGGAGGAGCUUGCUUCUCUGGAUGAGUUGCGAACGGGUGAGUAACGCGUAGGUAACCUGCCUGGUAGCGGGGGAUAACUAUUGGAAACGAUAGCUAAUACCGCAUAAGAGUAGAUGUUGCAUGACAUUUGCUUAAAAGGUGCAAUUGCAUCACUACCAGAUGGACCUGCGUUGUAUUAGCUAGUUGGUGAGGUAACGGCUCACCAAGGCGACGAUACAUAGCCGACCUGAGAGGGUGAUCGGCCACACUGGGACUGAGACACGGCCCAGACUCCUACGGGAGGCAGCAGUAGGGAAUCUUCGGCAAUGGACGGAAGUCUGACCGAGCAACGCCGCGUGAGUGAAGAAGGUUUUCGGAUCGUAAAGCUCUGUUGUAAGAGAAGAACGAGUGUGAGAGUGGAAAGUUCACACUGUGACGGUAUCUUACCAGAAAGGGACGGCUAACUACGU